CUUUUGACAGCCGUGAGCUUCCCCGCCAGGAACUUACUGGGGCUGCAUCACCCUAGAAACGUGGCUUUGGGCUGUGGAAACGCUGCCUCUGUGGAAGUCUCUCCUCGCGGGGGUGGACGGGUCGCUGCGCGCCCAGCGUUCUUCUGCGGUUCUCACAGCCCGCCGCCGCCGCCGCCUCGGGGACCUUUGCGGGGAGGCCUCAGGCUGGAGUAUAGUGGCAUGAUCAUAGAUCACUGCAGCCUCAAACUCCUGGGCUCAAGCGAUCCUCCCACCUCAGCCUCCAUAUAGCUGGUGGGGACCAAGUUUCUAACACAUGAAUGUUGGGAGACACAUUCAGACCAUCGCAGUGGCCUUAUAAAAAGAGACACAAGAGCUUGCUCUCUGCCAUGUGAGAAUACCACAAGAAGACUGUCCUCAGCAAAUCAGAAAGCGGGUGGACCCUCAUCAGACACCAGAUGUGCCUGCACCUUGAUCUUGGACUUGCCAGCCUUCAGAACAGUAAGAAAGAAAUGUGUGUUGUUUAAGCCACCCAGUCUAUGGUAACUUGCUAUAGCAGCCCACUAGGAGACCCCAAGAUAUUUAAAAACUCAUCAGCACCUGCUUUCUGCAUCUGGACCCUGAUCUUCUGGUGGGUUUACCAGUUACUUGUAGAGUGUCCCUGUGAUAGUUUU
Molecule: long non-coding RNA, 671 nt
Filed under: Homo sapiens (human)
Lineage: Eukaryota; Metazoa; Chordata; Mammalia; Primates; Hominidae
Description: non-protein coding LINC00847:14
Source: RNAcentral